This 448-nucleotide ribosomal RNA is filed under the name uncultured bacterium. RNAcentral describes it as "bacterial SSU rRNA". It matches the Rfam family "Bacterial small subunit ribosomal RNA", at positions 329 to 794 of the family's 1533-position model. The record is from RNAcentral.
CUCCAGACUCCUACGGGAGGCAGCAGUGGGGAAUAUUGCACAAUGGGGGAAACCCUGAUGCAGCGACGCCGCGUGAAGGAAGAAGUAUUUCGGUAUGUAAACUUCUAUCAGCAGGGAAGAAAAUGACGGUACCUGAAGAAGAAGCCCCGGCUAACUACGUGCCAGCAGCCGCGGUAAUACGUAGGGGGCAAGCGUUAUCCGGAUUUACUGGGUGUAAAGGGGGCGCAGACGGCGAUGCAAGCCAGGAGUGAAAGCCCGGGGCCCAACCCCGGGACUGCUCUUGGAACUGCGUGGCUGGAGUGCAGGAGGGGCAGGCGGAAUUCCUGGUGUAGCGGUGAAAUGCGUAGAUAUCAGGAGGAACACCGGUGGCGAAGGCGGCCUGCUGGACUGCAACUGACGUUGAGGCCCGAAAGCGUGGGGAGCAAACAGGAUUAGAUACCCCGGUAAA